GCCCAUCUUGGUCUAUGUGCAUAUCAUAAACGAAUAAAAAUUUUGUGAAAAUUGAUAAAAAUUGACUAUAAAGGGCAAUAACUCCUUAUGAGGUUUAUUGACCAUUUUGAUCAUGUUGACUUAUUUGUAGGUCUUACUUUGCUGUACAUUAUUGCUGUUUACAGUUUAUCACUGUCUAUAAUUAUAUUCAAGAUAAUAACCAAAAGCUGCAAAAUUUUCUGAAAAUUACCAAUUCCGGGGCAGCAACACAACAAUGGGUUGCCUGAUUGGUCUGAAAAUUUCAGGGCAGAUAGACUGACCUAACGAACAAAUUUAUCCUCGUCAAAUUUGCUUUAAAUGCUUUGGUUUCUGAGAUUUUAGCCAAAAACUGCAUUUUACCCUAUGUACGAUUUUUAGCCAUGUUGCCCAUCUUGGUUUGCAGUCAGGGUCAUCGGGCACAUUUUUUAAACUAAAUACCCUAAUGAUGAUUGUGGACAAGUUUGGUUAAAUUUGGCCCAGUAGUUUCAGAUGAGAAGAUUUUUGUAAAAGUUAAAGACGACGACAACAGACGCCAAGUGAUGAGAAAAGCUGGCCCUUUGGGCCAGGUGAGCUAAUAAUUGACCUUUUUGCAUAUAGUAUCUACAAAACAAGUCAACUAAACUAGGAAAACUUGAGAUUGACAUAUGAAUCAUGAAACUGAUGGUCACAUUAUAAUUUC
RNAcentral lists this long non-coding RNA (697 nucleotides) under Mytilus galloprovincialis (Mediterranean mussel). The record is from RNAcentral. Lineage: Eukaryota; Metazoa; Mollusca; Bivalvia; Mytilida; Mytilidae.